GUGGCUGUAGUGUAAUGGCAGCACGAUAGACUGUGGCUCUGUUAGAGAGGGUUCAAAUCCCUUCAGCCACCCCA
RNAcentral lists this transfer RNA (74 nucleotides) under Candidatus Omnitrophota bacterium. Its description in RNAcentral is "tRNA-His". It matches the Rfam family "tRNA". From Rfam's summary of the family: Transfer RNA (tRNA) molecules are approximately 80 nucleotides in length. Their secondary structure includes four short double-helical elements and three loops (D, anti-codon, and T loops). The record is from RNAcentral. Lineage: Bacteria; Pseudomonadati; Candidatus Omnitrophota.